This 344-nucleotide long non-coding RNA is filed under the name Manihot esculenta (cassava). Its description in RNAcentral is "long non-coding RNA (MESC_LNC007416)". Lineage: Eukaryota; Viridiplantae; Streptophyta; Magnoliopsida; Malpighiales; Euphorbiaceae. The record is from RNAcentral.
GGGUAUGUUCAAUUCGAACUUGGGUCCAUCAAGCCAAUCAAGCAUGCCUCUCUUUGUUUAUUUUGUACUAAAGUAAAAAAAGUUUAAUUAAUCUGCAGCUUUGUAGGUGGAUCAUGCUCCACUUUCAGUAAACCAGAUCCUGAUCACCUUCCAUAAUGUAUUGAUCUACAUCACGAAUAGAAUGGACUGAGCUUAAUUUGGACAACAUCAAAAACUGUCAAGCUUCUACUUGCUUUCAUCCACAAGACACUUCAGUAAGGUUGUCCGACUAUUUACUGGCUCUUCUCUGUCUGGAUACAAGUUGCAUGCCGCUCGUAGAUGCAAAUUUUUCUGAGAUUUUUCUA